Molecule: long non-coding RNA, 1568 nt
Organism: Mus spicilegus (steppe mouse)
Lineage: Eukaryota; Metazoa; Chordata; Mammalia; Rodentia; Muridae
Source: Ensembl
UGCAUGGGGACUCUGAGGCCUACCAGAUUCCUGUGGAGAUGAGACCUCCCUUCCUGGAAAGCAGAUGAGUUUUUCAAAUCUUUACUAUUUUGCCAUCUCCAGAGAUAAUAAGGCGUUCUUACUGCUUCCGGUGUCCACAGCAGGGACCUGAACCCUGCCUGUACAGUGAAUCUCGGUUGGAGCCAGAGGACUCAUCUAUUUGUUUCUGAGCCAGAGACCCUUUUAAUCAGCCCCCUGCAUCACCAGCAUCACUGACUGGUGAUUAACCAUUGACAUGCUGCAAGUACAAGAAGUCUCACUCUGCCAGGCAAACAAAACAACCCAACCCAAGCUGUGCUUCUGGGCCAGCAAGCCAAGGCUGUUGGCUGCAUGCCCACAGGAUCUCAUGGGACGGUUUGAGAGAAUGUGGUAUUCCGGUAACAGCCAUACUGAGGCUGGGCUUUGUGGUACUGAGCAGCCCCAGAGAAACGUUGGCUUGUUCCAUGGUCCAGGGUCACCUCAGCCUCUGCUAACAAUCCUGGUGUGCCCACCAUCGUGGCCCGAAUCCGCCCCUAAUGUCCAAUUCUGAACAUACAUCACCAAUGCACCCCACACCAGAUCCCCAAGGCCUCCCUCCCUACUAUCUCCCCAAGGAGAAGAGCUGCUUGGACAAGUUCCAGAAAAUCUCGCUGUGUUCAUGCCUCAUUCCAGCAUGACAGAUAGCAAAUGCCUAUGUGCAAUCCGUCAUGUCUGUGAUGGGAACAACCAACAUGUCCUCUCUCCUGUGAAUCCCAGCCUCAUUAUUGAUAAUAUACAUGCAAGAGUUUACAUGUCACAUGCCCAGUACCAUAAUGUAAGACAUUCUCCAGUAAGGAGGUGACCACUCUUUGCUAGGUCACCCUUCUGGAGUUUUCUUGGCUCCCCUUCUCUACACCAUCACAUCCUGCAGACUCUAUAUAGAGAGUGCACUCCAAACCUGAACACUUCUUACUUUCACCCCUCAGGGCAAGUGCUGCCCUCAUUAAUGCCUUCCUAACCUUUCUUCUCCUGCCCUAGUGCUGACCCAGACAUCUUGUCUUCCCUGUCUCGUUGCUAGUGUCAGUGGCUGACUACUGACUCAUUGCACUGUGUAAAAAAUUUCUCCACAGUGGAAGCACAUGGUCUUACCGCAUUGUCUUGCCACUGCCUUGCUGGCUGGAGAUAAGACAGUGCUAACUAAACACCUGUCAAGUGAAGAGACGAAGCCCUCAUAAUUUGUUCAUGUGGUACGGGUCUGUGUGACACAUGAGCCUGUUUUCCAUUCUCAGCAUGAAGGAUGGACUAGGAGAAAACAGGCUUACACCUCAGAGGAGCCACUGUCUGUGAAGCUGGGCCAUUGAAGUCAGCCAGUGUGGGGCAGAGUGGGAAUGACAGAGAGGGGGAAGAAAACCAGGGAGAGACAUGAAAGGUCCCAGGUAGGAAGGCCUUCCAAAGCAGGACCAGCAGGCAUCCGGUUCCCAUCAGCCAAGUGUGAGUGAGAUCCACACUGUCAAUACCCCCAGACUUGCCUCUCCUAAGGACUCCAUGCCAUCCUCAGAAUGUCAUUCAGG